AAUGAACGCUGGCGGCGUGCCUAAUACAUGCAAGUCGAGCGAACAGACGAGGAGCUUGCUCCUCUGACGUUAGCGGCGGACGGGUGAGUAACACGUGGAUAACCUACCUAUAAGACUGGGAUAACUUCGGGAAACCGGAGCUAAUACCGGAUAAUAUAUUGAACCGCAUGGUUCAAUAGUGAAAGACGGUUUUGCUGUCACUUAUAGAUGGAUCCGCGCCGCAUUAGCUAGUUGGUAAGGUAACGGCUUACCAAGGCAACGAUGCGUAGCCGACCUGAGAGGGUGAUCGGCCACACUGGAACUGAGACACGGUCCAGACUCCUACGGGAGGCAGCAGUUGGGAAUCUUCCGCAAUGGGCGAAAGCCUGACGGAGCAACGCCGCGUGAGUGAUGAAGGUCUUCGGAUCGUAAAACUCUGUUAUUAGGGAAGAACAAAUGUGUAAGUAACUAUGCACGUCUUGACGGUACCUAAUCAGAAAGCCACGGCUAACUACGUG
RNAcentral lists this ribosomal RNA (497 nucleotides) under uncultured bacterium. RNAcentral's name for it is "partial 16S ribosomal RNA". It matches the Rfam family "Bacterial small subunit ribosomal RNA", at positions 29 to 507 of the family's 1533-position model. The record is from RNAcentral.